RNAcentral lists this ribosomal RNA (443 nucleotides) under uncultured bacterium. RNAcentral's name for it is "bacterial SSU rRNA". It matches the Rfam family "Bacterial small subunit ribosomal RNA", at positions 336 to 795 of the family's 1533-position model. The record is from RNAcentral.
UUCCUACGGGGGGCUGCAGUAGGGAAUAUUGGACAAUGGGCGAAAGCCUGAUCCAGCAACGCCGCGUGCGCGAUGACGGCCUUCGGGUUGUAAAGCGCUUUUAGGAGAGAUGAGAAAGGACAGUAUCUCCAGAAUAAGCCUCGGCGAACUACGUGCCAGCAGCCGCGGUAAAACGUAGGAGGCGAGCGUUAUCCGGAUUUAUUGGGCGUAAAGCGUGUGCAGGCGGUCUAGCAAGUUGGAUGUGAAAGCUCCUGGCUUAACUGGGAGAGGUCGUUCAAAACUGCUAGACUAGAGAAUGGAAGAGGGAGGUGGAAUUCCGGGUGUAGUGGUGAAAUGCGUAGAUAUCCGGAGGAACACCAGUGGCGAAAGCGGCCUCCUAGGCCAUUUCUGACGCUAAGACACGAAAGCUAGGGUAGCAAACGGGAUUAGAUACCCUAGUAGUC